GCGCGGGGCACGCCGGGAAGUGUGUCUGAGGCCGCAGAGGGGACUGUGUGGCGGGAGCCCCGGGCGCCGAGGCCGGAGGAGGAGGCGGCGGGAUGGCGGAGCGGACGGCGGAGCGGACGGAGCGGCCGGCGCGGUGCUCAGCGCCGUGCGGGGCCGCGAGCCGGGCCUGCGGGGAUAUAAAACCCCUGUCAUCGGGAAUCCGGGUGCCACCUUGGACCAGUUCGAUGCCAUUGGUUUUCUGACAGUGAAAUCCGGAAGCUGGACGGCUUCCCCCUGCUGAGGAGACUGAAGAGCCUCCUGGUGAACAACAGCAGGACAUGUAUUCUCAGGAACCGCCUGUACGUCAUUUACAAGGCCCCCCGAGUGCGUGAGCUGGACUUCCAGAAGGUGAAGCUCAAGGCCCCGGCCACAACGGGGAGGAGAAGGUGGAGGAAGACGCCGUCACACGGCUCCUGAGUGUCUGGGGCCCGGCCGCCGGGGACAAGGUCCUGCCUUGAACGUGGAAUGUUGGCGUCAAGCUUCGCCGAAGGCUCCGGCGGCUGCAGUCGUUUCUAAUUCACAUUCUGAGCUCUCACCGCCUGGUCCUCAGAGCGGAACAGACACCCACUGCCUGCUGCCCGGGCUGUGCGCCCAGUGGUGUGUGUGUGUCUUUAAGCUGGACUAGGCCUCCGCCUGUAAAAUGUUUGGAUGUUUAAACGUUAAUAAAACUGGUGUGAACGGCA
This is a long non-coding RNA of Pipistrellus kuhlii (Kuhl's pipistrelle), 722 nucleotides long. RefSeq lists it as uncharacterized. The record is from RefSeq and is a predicted model, not a curated record. The transcript is spliced from 4 exons. Lineage: Eukaryota; Metazoa; Chordata; Mammalia; Chiroptera; Vespertilionidae.